UAAUGAUUUAAAUUUGCCAUAAGAUGUUUUUGCAGGCACAAAGAUAAAUUAAAAAAUGAUGUUUGGCACAAAUAAUAUAUCAUUCCAAUAGAAGUUAACUCAAAAGAACUACUUCCAAAUAAACAAGGAUAGAUGCAAACUUUCCUUUUGAUCAUAAGUUUAAAGACUUUGCACUUGUCUACAGAAGCACGAUAUCCCUUUAUGGAGAUAACACUGGAAACUUACGACAGAUAUCUGACUUAGUUUCUACUUGUCCGCAAUAAUUGCAUUUGUUUGGCUUUCAAAUAUUUGGCUUUGAGUGUUCUUCAUUAAAGUUAAUUCAGAAAAAGGCUUCCGACGAAUGAAUUUUAUAUAACAUGUUAUUUAAUUAUUCUAUAUCACUGGGUCAAUACAUCUGCUGGAAACAGUCUCAGAUGGUAUCGUCAGCUCAGUAGUCAGAACUUCGGAACUGACAUCAUUUAUAUCUUGACUUACAUCUAGAAAUUGACAAUGAGGGUCGGUUGAAAACAAAACUUUACGACAAAAGAGAUGAUUUCAGCUUUCCAAUUGUGAAAUUUCCAUUUCUAAGAAGCAACAUUCCAGUAGCACCUGCAUACGGGGUAUAUAUCUCCCAAUUGAUACGAUAUUCCCGUGCUUGCAUUUCCUAUCAUGAUUUUCUUGAUAGAGGGUUACUGCUCACAAGGAAGC
Molecule: long non-coding RNA, 687 nt
Filed under: Mytilus galloprovincialis (Mediterranean mussel)
Lineage: Eukaryota; Metazoa; Mollusca; Bivalvia; Mytilida; Mytilidae
Source: RNAcentral